CCUACGGGAGGCAGCAGUGAGGAAUAUUGGUCAAUGGGCGGAAGCCUGAACCAGCCACGUAGCGUGCAGGAUGACGGCCCUACGGGUUGUAAACUGCUUUUAUACGGGAAUAACGCGCCUUACGUGUUGGGCUUUGCAUGUACCGUAUGAAUAAGGACCGGCUAAUUCCGUGCCAGCAGCCGCGGUAAUACGGAAGGUCCGGGCGUUAUCCGGAUUUAUUGGGGUUAAAGGGAGCGUAGGCCGCAUGUCAAGCGUGCUGUGAAAUGUCCGGGCUCAACCCGGGCCUUGCAGCGCGAACUGGCGAGCUUGAGUCCGCGGAAAGCAGGCGGAAUUCGAGGUGUAGCGGUGAAAUGCGUAGAUAUGACGAAGAACCCCGAUUGCGAAGGCAGCUUGCUGCAGCGGAACUGACGCUGAUGCGCGAAAGCGCGGGUAUCGAACAGGAUUAGAUACCCGGGUAGUC
Molecule: ribosomal RNA, 460 nt
Filed under: uncultured bacterium
Lineage: Bacteria
Description: partial 16S ribosomal RNA
Rfam family: Bacterial small subunit ribosomal RNA
Source: RNAcentral